UGGGGAAUAUUGCGACAAUGGGCGAAAGCCUGAUCCAGCCAUGCCGCGUGUGUGAAGAAGGCCUUUUGGUUGUAAAGCACUUUAAGUGGGGAGGAAAAGCUUAUGGUUAAUACCCAUAAGCCCUGACGUUACCCACAGAAUAAGCACCGGCUAACUCUGUGCCAGCAGCCGCGGUAAUACAGAGGGUGCAAGCGUUAAUCGGAAUUACUGGGCGUAAAGCGCGCGUAGGUGGUUAUUUAAGUCAGAUGUGAAAGCCCCGGGCUUAACCUGGGAACUGCAUCUGAUACUGGAUAACUAGAGUAGGUGAGAGGGGAGUAGAAUUCCAGGUGUAGCGGUGAAAUGCGUAGAGAUCUGGAGGAAUACCGAUGGCGAAGGCAGCUCCCUGGCAUCAUACUGACACUGAGGUGCGAAAGCGUGGGUAGCAAACAGGAUUAGAUACCCUGGUAGUCCACGCCGUAAACGAUGUCUACCAGUCGUUGGGUCUUUUAAAGACUUAGUGACGCAGUUAACGCAAUAAGUAGACCGCCUGGGGAGUACGGCCGCAAGGUUA
RNAcentral lists this ribosomal RNA (550 nucleotides) under uncultured bacterium. RNAcentral describes it as "bacterial SSU rRNA". It matches the Rfam family "Bacterial small subunit ribosomal RNA", at positions 355 to 896 of the family's 1533-position model. The record is from RNAcentral.